GGGAGAUGGCCGAGUGGUUAAUGGCAGCAGACUGUAAAUCUGCCGGCGUAUGCCUACGGAGGUUCGAAUCCUUCUCUCCCC
RNAcentral lists this transfer RNA (81 nucleotides) under marine eukaryotic metagenome. It matches the Rfam family "tRNA". From Rfam's summary of the family: Transfer RNA (tRNA) molecules are approximately 80 nucleotides in length. The record is from RNAcentral.